AUAAGAUUGUAGUAUCGCAUGAUAUAGCAAUUAAAGGUAGCAAUUCGCUAUAAGAUGACCCGCGUCGCAUUAGCUAGUUGGUGAGGUAAUGGCUCACCAAGGCGACGAUGCGUAGCCGACCUGAGAGGGUGAUCGGCCACAUUGGGACUGAGACACGGCCCAGACUCCUACGGGAGGCAGCAUG
This 184-nucleotide ribosomal RNA is filed under the name uncultured bacterium. RNAcentral's name for it is "partial 16S ribosomal RNA". It matches the Rfam family "Bacterial small subunit ribosomal RNA", at positions 173 to 353 of the family's 1533-position model. The record is from RNAcentral.